ACCUCCGGGGUGUAGUGGUAUCACGUGUUCUCGGUAUGGAUGAAACGCGGGUUCGACUCCCGUCCGAGGUC
Parelaphostrongylus tenuis is the source of this 71-nucleotide non-coding RNA. The record is from the annotation of a GenBank genome assembly. Lineage: Eukaryota; Metazoa; Nematoda; Chromadorea; Rhabditida; Metastrongylidae.